GGAGACGUGCCGGAGCGGCUGAACGGGCGCGCUUGGAGAGCGCGAAACCUCCGAAAGGGGGUUCUUGGGUUCAAAUCCCAACGUCUCCGCCA
This 92-nucleotide transfer RNA is filed under the name Candidatus Omnitrophota bacterium. Its description in RNAcentral is "Candidatus Omnitrophica bacterium (groundwater metagenome) tRNA-Ser". It matches the Rfam family "tRNA". Rfam says of the family: Transfer RNA (tRNA) molecules are approximately 80 nucleotides in length. Their secondary structure includes four short double-helical elements and three loops (D, anti-codon, and T loops). Further hydrogen bonds mediate the characteristic L-shaped molecular structure. tRNAs have two regions of fundamental functional importance: the anti-codon, which is responsible for specific mRNA codon recognition, and the 3' end, to which the tRNAs corresponding amino acid is attached (by aminoacyl-tRNA synthetases). tRNAs cope with the degeneracy of the genetic code in two manners: having more than one tRNA (with a specific anti-codon) for a particular amino acid; and 'wobble' base-pairing, i.e. permitting non-standard base-pairing at the 3rd anti-codon position. The record is from RNAcentral. Lineage: Bacteria; Pseudomonadati; Candidatus Omnitrophota.